This 762-nucleotide ribosomal RNA is filed under the name uncultured Prevotella sp. Its description in RNAcentral is "bacterial SSU rRNA". It matches the Rfam family "Bacterial small subunit ribosomal RNA", at positions 28 to 776 of the family's 1533-position model. Lineage: Bacteria; Pseudomonadati; Bacteroidota; Bacteroidia; Bacteroidales; Prevotellaceae. The record is from RNAcentral.
GAUGAACGCUGGCUACAGGCUUAACACAUGCAAGUCGAGGGGAAACGACGGGGAAGCUUGCUUCCCCGGGCGUCGACCGGCGCACGGGUGAGUAACGCGUAUCCAACCUGCCUCUGACUGAGGGAUAACCCGUCGAAAGUCGGCCUAAUACCUCAUGGUAUCGUCUGCGGGCAUCCAACGACGAUUAAAGAUUUCAUCGGUCAGGGAUGGGGAUGCGUCUGAUUAGCUUGUUGGCGGGGUAACGGCCCACCAAGGCUACGAUCAGUAGGGGUUCUGAGAGGAAGGUCCCCCACAUUGGAACUGAGACACGGUCCAAACUCCUACGGGAGGCAGCAGUGAGGAAUAUUGGUCAAUGGGCGAGAGCCUGAACCAGCCAAGUAGCGUGCAGGAAGACGGCCCUAUGGGUUGUAAACUGCUUUUAUGCGGGGAUAAAGUGAGGGACGUGUCCCUCAUUGCAGGUACCGCAUGAAUAAGGACCGGCUAAUUCCGUGCCAGCAGCCGCGGUAAUACGGAAGGUCCUGGCGUUAUCCGGAUUUAUUGGGUUUAAAGGGAGCGUAGGCCGUGGAUUAAGCGUGUUGUGAAAUGCAGGUGCUCAACGUCUGCACUGCAGCGCGAACUGGUCCACUUGAGUGUGCGCAACGCAGGCGGAAUUCGUCGUGUAGCGGUGAAAUGCUUAGAUAUGACGAAGAAACUCCGAUUGCGAAGGCAGCUUGCGGGAGCACAACUGACGCUGAAAGCUCGAAAGUGCGGGUAUCGAACAGG